ACUGCUCAGUAACACGUGGAUAACCUGCCCUAAGGAAGGGGAUAACCUCGGGAAACUGAGGAUAAUACCCUAUAGGUUACAGACGCUGGAAUGCCCUGUAACCGAAAGUUCCGGCGCCUUAGGAUGGAUCUGCGGCCGAUUAGGUUGUUGUUGGGGUAACGGCCCAACAAGCCGAUAAUCGGUACGGGUUGUGGGAGCAAGAGCCCGGAGUUGGAUUCUGAGACAUGAAUCCAGGCCCUACGGGGCGCAGCAGGCGCGAAAACUUUACAAUGCGGGAAACCGUGAUAAGGGAACCCCGAGUGCCUGUAUAUGCAGGCUGUCCAGGUGUCUAAAAAACACCUGAAGAAAGGGCCGGGCAAGACCGGUGCCAGCCGCCGCGGUAAUACCGGCGGCUCGAGUGGUGGCCACUUUUAUUGGGCUUAAAGCGUUCGUAGCUGGGUUGUUAAGUCUCUUGGGAAAUCUGACGGCUCAACCGUCAAGCGUCCAAGGGAUACUGGCAAUCUUGGAACCGGGAGAGGUGAGGGGUACUUCGGGGGUAGGAGUGAAAUCCUGUAAUCCUCGAGGGACCACCUGUGGCGAAGGCGCCUCACCAGAACGGCUUCGACAGUGAGGGACGAAAGCUGGGGGAGCAAACCGGAUUAGAUACCCGGGUAGUCCCAGCCGUAAACGAUGCGCGUUAGGUGUAUCGGUGACCACGAGUCACCGAGGUGCCGAAGGGAAACCGUGAAACGUGCCGCCUGGGAAGUACGGUCGCAAGGCUGAAACUUAAAGGAAUUGGCGGGGGAGCAC
This 789-nucleotide ribosomal RNA is filed under the name Methanoculleus sp. enrichment culture clone L55A_36. RNAcentral describes it as "bacterial SSU rRNA". It matches the Rfam family "Archaeal small subunit ribosomal RNA", at positions 85 to 879 of the family's 1478-position model. Lineage: Archaea; Methanobacteriati; Methanobacteriota; Methanomicrobia; Methanomicrobiales; Methanomicrobiaceae. The record is from RNAcentral.